GCCUGGGUGGCUCAGUCGGUUAAGCAUCUGACUUUGGCUCAGGUCAUGAUUUCACAGUUUGUGGGUUCAAGCCCUGCAUCAGGCU
This 85-nucleotide transfer RNA is filed under the name Felis catus (domestic cat). It matches the Rfam family "tRNA". From Rfam's summary of the family: Transfer RNA (tRNA) molecules are approximately 80 nucleotides in length. Their secondary structure includes four short double-helical elements and three loops (D, anti-codon, and T loops). The record is from Rfam by way of RNAcentral. RNAcentral also lists the same sequence under 3 other names. Lineage: Eukaryota; Metazoa; Chordata; Mammalia; Carnivora; Felidae.